This 253-nucleotide ribosomal RNA is filed under the name uncultured bacterium. RNAcentral describes it as "partial 16S ribosomal RNA". It matches the Rfam family "Bacterial small subunit ribosomal RNA", at positions 524 to 776 of the family's 1533-position model. The record is from RNAcentral.
GACAGAGGGUGCAAACGUUGUUCGGAAUUACUGGGCGUAAAGCGCGUGUAGGCGGCCCUGCAAGUCGGAUGUGAAAUCCCACGGCUCAACCGUGGAAGUGCAUUCGAAACUGCAGGGCUAGAGUCCUGGAGAGGAAGGUGGAAUGCUUGGUGUAGAGGUGAAAUUCGUAGAUAUCAAGCGGAACACCGGUGGCGAAGGCGGCCUUCUGGACAGUGACUGACGCUGAGCCGCGAAAGCCAGGGGAGCGAACGGG